RNAcentral lists this ribosomal RNA (270 nucleotides) under uncultured archaeon. RNAcentral describes it as "partial 16S ribosomal RNA". It matches the Rfam family "Archaeal small subunit ribosomal RNA", at positions 477 to 747 of the family's 1478-position model. The record is from RNAcentral.
CAGCCCCUCGAGUGGUGGGGAUGAUUAUUUGGCCUAAAGCGUCCGUAGCCGGCCGAGUAAGUCCCCCGUUAAAUCCAGCGUCUCAAGCGUUGGACUGCGGGAGAUACUACUUGGCUAGAGAGUGGGAGAGGUCAGCGGUAUUCUGGGGGUAGGGGCGAAAUCCUUUGAUCCCCGGAGGACCACCAGUGGCGAAGGCUGCUGAAUAGAACACGUCUGACGGUCAGGGACGAAAGCUGGGGUAGCGAACCGGAUUAGAUACCCGAGUAGUCC